This is a non-coding RNA of Paramuricea clavata, 123 nucleotides long. NCBI's taxonomy places the organism in Eukaryota, Metazoa, Cnidaria, Anthozoa, Malacalcyonacea, Plexauridae. The record is from the annotation of a GenBank genome assembly.
AUAUGCAAAAUUAAAAACAAAGAUUAACAUACGAUAGCAUUCCUCCACUCGUGAGCUCAUUUACCGAAGCAAAUGUCCUGGAGGAAUGCUAUCGUAUGUUAAUCUUUGUUUGUAAUUUUGCAU